UUUCACUUUCAUGUUUCCCUCACAAGUUAGAAAAUGCAAGAGAAAAACAAUUCCAAGAAAAGAAAACGCAUAGAAGUAAAAUAAGCUCUGAGAGGUGAUAGCAAGAAUACUUGCUUUAUAGCGUAUAUCAAAUUGAUAGUUAUUGUAUGUACACACACACACACGCCAGAAUACAAACAAAAGACAUUGAAACAACACCCAGCAAAACUCUUCCCUAUACCAUCUCUUUCUUCUCCCUCUCCCCAACAAUGGAAUGACCCUUUCCCUGUU
Molecule: unclassified non-coding RNA, 270 nt
Filed under: Hevea brasiliensis (rubber tree)
Lineage: Eukaryota; Viridiplantae; Streptophyta; Magnoliopsida; Malpighiales; Euphorbiaceae
Source: RNAcentral